Molecule: long non-coding RNA, 428 nt
Filed under: Mytilus galloprovincialis (Mediterranean mussel)
Lineage: Eukaryota; Metazoa; Mollusca; Bivalvia; Mytilida; Mytilidae
Source: RNAcentral
GGGGUGAGGUUACAACCUUGAAGUGGGGAUGUUGAUAUAGGAUUAUAAAAAGUGGGGUAAUGAAAUACACGGGACAACAACGAUGGGAUUAGGAGAAAAAAAAAGAAGAGUAAUUUGGGAAAAGGAGCACACCGUGUCACCCCGACCCCUCACGUAAAUAAAAUAAAAUCCAAUCUAGAAUUUCUGAACAAGAUUUUAACAGUGUUGUUCACUUUUUUUUCUUUUUUUUUGGAGGGGGGGAGGGCAUUAUAGAAAAAUCUCCCAUCUCUCACUCAAAAUAUGGAUAACUUUAUGUCAAGGGGUCUAUAAUUCUAUUUGACAGCUACAGACAUAAUAAUUUUGUACCUUUUUCAGCUACACAAAAUCCUUUACGUUAACUUAAAAAGUUUGUUUUAUUAGUAAUUUAUUCUCUCUACUUAUUUAAAAAA